GGGGAAUAUUGCACAAUGGGCGAAAGCCUGAUGCAGCAACGCCGCGUGAGUGAUGAAGGUCUUCGGAUUGUAAAGCUCUGUCUUUUGGGACGAUAAUGACGGUACCAAAGGAGGAAGCCACGGCUAACUACGUGCCAGCAGCCGCGGUAAUACGUAGGUGGCGAGCGUUGUCCGGAUUUACUGGGCGUAAAGGGUGCGUAGGCGGAUGUUUAAGUGAGAUGUGAAAUACCCGGGCUUAACUUGGGUGCUGCAUUUCAAACUGGAUAUCUAGAGUGCAGGAGAGGAGAAUGGAAUUCCUAGUGUAGCGGUGAAAUGCGUAGAGAUUAGGAAGAACACCAGUGGCGAAGGCGAUUCUCUGGACUGUAACUGACGCUGAGGCACGAAAGCGUGGGUAGCAAACAGGAUUAGAUACCCUGGUAGUCCACGCCGU
This 430-nucleotide ribosomal RNA is filed under the name uncultured bacterium. RNAcentral's name for it is "partial 16S ribosomal RNA". It matches the Rfam family "Bacterial small subunit ribosomal RNA", at positions 356 to 803 of the family's 1533-position model. The record is from RNAcentral.